RNAcentral lists this transfer RNA (85 nucleotides) under Pseudomonadota bacterium. RNAcentral's name for it is "tRNA-Leu". It matches the Rfam family "tRNA". From Rfam's summary of the family: Transfer RNA (tRNA) molecules are approximately 80 nucleotides in length. Lineage: Bacteria; Pseudomonadati; Pseudomonadota. RNAcentral also lists the same sequence under 1 other name. The record is from RNAcentral.
GCGAAAGUGGCGGAAUUGGUAGACGCACUGGAUUUAGGUUCCAGCGCCUUAUGGCGUGGGGGUUCGAGUCCCCCCUUUCGCACCA